UGAAACUAGAUACAAGCGAGCGGCGGACGGGUGAGUAACACGUGGGUAACCUGCCCAAGAGACUGGGAUAACACCUGGAAACAGAUGCUAAUACCGGAUAACAACACUAGACGCAUGUCUAGAGUUUGAAAGAUGGUUCUGCUAUCACUCUUGGAUGGACCUGCGGUGCAUUAGCUAGUUGGUAAGGUAACGGCUUACCAAGGCAAUGAUGCAUAGCCGAGUUGAGAGACUGAUCGGCCACAUUGGGACUGAGACACGGCCCAAACUCCUACGGGAGGCAGCAGUAGGGAAUCUUCCACAAUGGACGAAAGUCUGAUGGAGCAACGCCGCGUGAGUGAAGAAGGGUUUCGGCUCGUAAAGCUCUGUUGGUAGUGAAGAAAGAUAGAGGUAGUAACUGGCCUUUAUUUGACGGUAAUUACUUAGAAAGUCACGGCUAACUACGUGCCAGCAGCCGCGGUAAUACGUAGGUGGCAAGCGUUGUCCGGAUUUAUUGGGCGUAAAGCGAGUGCAGGCGGUUCAAUAAGUCUGAUGUGAAAGCCUUCGGCUCAACCGGAGAAUUGCAUCAGAAACUGUUGAACUUGAGUGCAGAAGAGGAGAGUGGAACUCCAUGUGUAGCGGUGGAAUGCGUAGAUAUAUGGAAGAACACCAGUGGCGAAGGCGGCUCUCUGGUCUGCAACUGACGCUGAGGCUCGAAAGCAUGGGUAGCGAACAGGAUUAGAUACCCUGGUAGUCCAUGCCGUAAAACGAUGAGUGCUAAAUGUUGGGAGGUUU
Molecule: ribosomal RNA, 771 nt
Filed under: uncultured bacterium
Lineage: Bacteria
Description: bacterial SSU rRNA
Rfam family: Bacterial small subunit ribosomal RNA
Source: RNAcentral